Molecule: ribosomal RNA, 690 nt
Filed under: uncultured Acidobacteriota bacterium
Lineage: Bacteria; Pseudomonadati; Acidobacteriota
Description: bacterial SSU rRNA
Rfam family: Bacterial small subunit ribosomal RNA
Source: RNAcentral
GAUCCUGGCUCAGAAUCAACGCUGGCGGCGUGCCUAACACAUGCAAGUCGAGCGAGAAAGGGUAGCAAUACCUGAGUAAAGCGGCGCACGGGUGAGUAACACGUGGAUAACCUGCCUCAAAGUGGGGGAUAACACCGGGAAACCGGUGCUAAUACCGCAUAUUCUGAUGAAGUCUGCGGAUUUUGUCAGGAAAGGAGCAAUUCGCUAUGAGAGGGGUCCGCGGCUGAUUAGCUAGUUGGUGAGGUAAUGGCUCACCAAGGCAACGAUCAGUAGCCGGUCUGAGAGGACGGUCGGCCACACUGGAACUGAGACACGGUCCAGACUCCUACGGGAGGCAGCAGUGGGGAAUUUUUGGCAAUGGGGGAAACCCUGACCAAGCAACGCCGCGUGGAUGAUGAAGUAUCUCGGUACGUAAAAUCCUUUCGACGGGGACGAAACCGCAAGGUUGACGGUACCCGUAGAAGAAGCCCCGGCUAACUCCGUGCCAGCAGCCGCGGUAAUACGGGGGGGGCAAGCGUUGUUCGGAAUUACUGGGCGUAAAGGGCGCGUAGGCGGCUUGUUAAGUCGGGUGUGAAAACUCUGGGCUCAACCCAGAGCCUGCAUUCGAAACUGAUGAGCUAGAGUUCUGGAGGGGAAAGCGGAAUUCCUGGUGUAGCAGUGAAAUGCGUAGAUAUCAGGAGGAACACCGGU